CGCAGCCGCGGUAAUUCCAGCUCCAAUAGCGUAUAUUAAAGUUGUUGCAGUUAAAAAGCUCGUAGUUGAAUUUCGGGGUUAGUAGGUUGGUCAUGCCUCUGGUAUGUACUGGUCUCACUGAUUCCUCCUUCCUGAUGAACCUUAAUGCCAUUAAUUUGGUGUUUUGGGGAAUUUGGACUGUUACUUUGAAAAAUUAGAGUGUUUAAAGCAAGCUAACGCUUGAAUACAUUAGCAUGGAAUAAUGAAAUAGGACGUUCGAUCCUAUUUUGUUGGUUUCUAGGAUUGACGUAAUGAUUAAUAGGGAUAGUUGGGGGCAUUAGUAUUCAAUUGUCAGAGGUGAAAUUCUUGGAUUUAUUGAAGACUAACUACCGCGAAAGCAUUUGCCAAGGAUGUUUUCAUUAAUCAAGAACGAAAGUUAGGGGAUCGAAGACGAUCAGAUACCGUCGUAGUCUUAACCAUAAACUAUGCCGACUAGGGAUCGGAUGAUGUUAAUUUUUUAAUGUACUCAUUCGGCGCCUAC
This 520-nucleotide ribosomal RNA is filed under the name uncultured Glomus. RNAcentral's name for it is "SSU rRNA". It matches the Rfam family "Eukaryotic small subunit ribosomal RNA", at positions 569 to 1090 of the family's 1831-position model. The record is from RNAcentral. Lineage: Eukaryota; Fungi; Glomeromycota; Glomeromycetes; Glomerales; Glomeraceae.